UACAGAGGUCCCGAGCGUUGUUCGGAUUCACUGGGCGUAAAGGGUGCGUAGGUGGCAUGGUAAGUUUGAUGUGAAAGCUCAGGGCUUAACCCUGAAAUGGCAUUGAAUACUACUGUGCUGGAGGUUUGGAGGGGGGACUGGAAUUCUUGGUGUAGCAGUGAAAUGCGUAGAUAUCAAGAGGAACACCAGUGGCGAAGGCGAGUCCCUGGACAACGCCUGACACUGAGGCACGAAAGCUAGGGGAGCAAACAGG
This 253-nucleotide ribosomal RNA is filed under the name uncultured bacterium. Its description in RNAcentral is "partial 16S ribosomal RNA". It matches the Rfam family "Bacterial small subunit ribosomal RNA", at positions 524 to 776 of the family's 1533-position model. The record is from RNAcentral.